This 487-nucleotide ribosomal RNA is filed under the name uncultured bacterium. RNAcentral's name for it is "bacterial SSU rRNA". It matches the Rfam family "Bacterial small subunit ribosomal RNA", at positions 28 to 561 of the family's 1533-position model. The record is from RNAcentral.
AACGAACGCUGGCAGCAUGCCUAACACAUGCAAGUCGAACGAGACCUUCGGGUCUAGUGGCGCACGGGUGCGUAACGCGUGGGAAUCUGCCCUUAGGUUCGGAAUAACAGUUAGAAAUGACUGCUAAUACCGGAUGAUGACUUCGGUCCAAAGAUUUAUCGCCUGAGGAUGAGCCCGCGUAGGAUUAGCCUGUUGGUGAGGUAAAGGCUCACCAAGGCGACGAUCCUUAGCUGGUCUGAGGGGAUGAUCAGCCACACUGGGACUGAGACACGGCCCAGACUCCUACGGGAGGCAGCAGUGGGGAAUAUUGGACAAUGGGCGCAAGCCUGAUCCAGCAAUGCCGCGUGAGUGAUGAAGGCCUUAGGGUUGUAAAGCUCUUUUACCCGGGAUGAUAAUGACCGUACCGGGAGAAUAAGCUCCGGCUAACUCCGUGCCAGCAGCCGCGGUAAUACGGAGGGAGCUAGCGUUGUUCGGAAUUACUGGGCGU